This 743-nucleotide ribosomal RNA is filed under the name uncultured bacterium. RNAcentral's name for it is "bacterial SSU rRNA". It matches the Rfam family "Bacterial small subunit ribosomal RNA", at positions 94 to 823 of the family's 1533-position model. The record is from RNAcentral.
AGCGGCGGACGGGUGAGUAACACGUGGGUAACCUGCCCAAGAGACUGGGAUAACACCUGGAAACAGAUGCUAAUACCGGAUAACAACACUAGACGCAUGUCUAGAGUUUGAAAGAUGGUUCUGCUAUCACUCUUGGAUGGACCUGCGGUGCAUUAGCUAGUUGGUAAGGUAACGGCUUACCAAGGCAAUGAUGCAUAGCCGAGUUGAGAGACUGAUCGGCCACAUUGGGACUGAGACACGGCCCAAACUCCUACGGGAGGCAGCAGUAGGGAAUCUUCCACAAUGGACGAAAGUCUGAUGGAGCAACGCCGCGUGAGUGAAGAAGGGUUUCGGCUCGUAAAGCUCUGUUGGUAGUGAAGAAAGAUAGAGGUAGUAACUGGCCUUUAUUUGACGGUAAUUACUUAGAAAGUCACGGCUAACUACGUGCCAGCAGCCGCGGUAAUACGUAGGUGGCAAGCGUUGUCCGGAUUUAUUGGGCGUAAAGCGAGUGCAGGCGGUUCAAUAAGUCUGAUGUGAAAGCCUUCGGCUCAACCGGAGAAUUGCAUCAGAAACUGUUGAACUUGAGUGCAGAAGAGGAGAGUGGAACUCCAUGUGUAGCGGUGGAAUGCGUAGAUAUAUGGAAGAACACCAGUGGCGAACGCGGCUCUCUGGUCUGCAACUGACGCUGAGGCUCGAAAGCAUGGGUAGCGAACAGGAUUAGAUACCCUGGGUAGUCCAUGCCGUAAACGAUGAGUGCUAAGUGU